CGGUAAUGAAGCAAUUGACUGGUUCGGUUUCAGCCGAUUGUGGAGCCAGACCGUGGGUUAUGCGGUAACCACAAGCCGAAUAGAUUCUUUGAAUCGAAGAAAAACGCUUAAU
This 112-nucleotide non-coding RNA is filed under the name unclassified sequences. The record is from Rfam.